CAGCAGCCACGGUAAUACGUAGGGUGCAAGCGUUAUCCGGAAUUAUUGGGCGUAAAGCGCGCGUAGGCGGUUACUCAAGUCAGAGGUGAAAGCCCGGGGCUCAACCCCGGAACUGCCUUUGAAACUAGGUGACUAGAAUCUUGGAGAGGUCAGUGGAAUUCCGAGUGUAGAGGUGAAAUUCGUAGAUAUUCGGAAGAACACCAGUGGCGAAGGCGACUGACUGGACAAGUAUUGACGCUGAGGUGCGAAAGCGUGGGGAGCAAACAGGAUUAGAUACCCGGGUAGUCCCUGUCUCUUAUAC
RNAcentral lists this ribosomal RNA (301 nucleotides) under uncultured bacterium. Its description in RNAcentral is "partial 16S ribosomal RNA". It matches the Rfam family "Bacterial small subunit ribosomal RNA", at positions 509 to 807 of the family's 1533-position model. The record is from RNAcentral.